CUGGCUCAGAACGAACGCUGGCAGCGUGGAUUAGGCAUGCAAGUCGAACGGGAUCCGGGGGAUAGCAAUAUUCCUGGUGAGAGUGGCGGAUUGGGGAGGAACACGUGAGCAACCUGCCCUGGAGAUGUGGAAAACCGUUGGAAACGACGGCUAAUACAGAAUGUGGCGCCGGACGGCAUCGUCCGAACGCCGAAGGGGGCCGAAAGGCUCCCGCUCCGGGAUGGGCUCGCGCACCAUCAGCUUGUUGGCGGGGUAACGGCCCACCAAGGCUUACGGUUAGCUGGUCUGAGAGGAUGACCAGCCCCACUGGGACUGAGAUACUGCCCAGACUCCUACGGGAGGCUGCAGUCGAGGAUCAUUCGCAAUGGGCGAAAGCCUGACGAUGCGACGCUGCGUGGAGGAUGAAGGCCUUCGGGUUGUAAACUCCUGUCAUGGGGGAAGAGGCGAGGGGACCCAACACGUCCCUUAGUUGACUGUACCCCAAGAGGAAUGGGCGGCUAACUCUGUGCCAGCAGCCGC
RNAcentral lists this ribosomal RNA (519 nucleotides) under uncultured bacterium. Its description in RNAcentral is "bacterial SSU rRNA". It matches the Rfam family "Bacterial small subunit ribosomal RNA", at positions 19 to 518 of the family's 1533-position model. The record is from RNAcentral.